GUUUGAUUAUGGCUCAGAUUGAACGCUGGCGGGAUGCUUUACAUGCAAGUCGAACGGCAGCACGGACUUCGGUCUGGUGGCGAGUGGCGAACGGGUGAGUAAUGUAUGGGGCAUGCCUAGUAGCGGGGGAUAACCGCGAAAGCGUAGCUAAUACCGCAUACGCCCUUCGAGGAAAAGCAGAGGGAUACUUCGGGCCUCGCACUAUUAGAGCGGCCGAGUAUCGGAUUAGCUGAACUGGUGGAAAUGGCGCAGCUCGCAAGGCGACGAUCCGUAGCUGGUUUGAGAGGACGACCAGCCACACUGGGACUGAGACACGGCCCAGACUCCUACAGGAGGCAGCAGUGGGGAAUUUUGGACAAUGGGGGAAACCCUGGUCCAGUAUCCCGCGUGUGCGAUGAAGGCCUUCGGGUUAUGGCCCACUUUUUUGGCAGGAAAAACGGCACGGGAUAAUACCCCAUGCAACCGGCAAUACCUGCAGAAUAAGCACCGGCUAACUACGUGCCAACGGCCGCGGUAAUACGUAGGGUGCAAGCGUUAAUCGGAAUUACUGGGCGUAAAGCGUGCGCAGGCGGUUCCGGAAAGAAAGAUGUGAAAUCCCAGAGCUUAACUUUAGGGCUUACAUUUUAGCUACCGAGCUGCGUUGUAUCAGAGGAGGUGCGUUCCAUGUAGCAGUGAAAUGCGUAGAUAUGGAGGGAACACCGAUGGCGAAGGCAGCCUCCUGGGAUAACACUGGCCGCUCUUUUUACACAAAAAGCGUAGGGGAGCAAACAGGAUUAGAUACCCUGGUAGUCCGCCUAAAACGAUGUCAACUAGCUGUUGGGGCCUUGGGCCUUGGUAGCUAUUGCGCAUGAUUGACCUCAGGAGGCUGAUUACGAGAUUAAGCUCAAAGGAAUUGACGGGUUACACAAGCGGUGGAUGAUGUGGAUUAAUUCGAUGCAACGCGAAAACCUUACCUACCCUUGACAUGUCUGGAAUCCCGAAGAGAUUUGGGAGUGCUCGCAAGAGAACCGGAACACAGGUGCUGCAUGGCUGUCGUCAGCUCGUGUCGUGAGAUGUUGGGUUAAGUCCCGCAACGAGCGCAACCCUUGUCGUGGAUUGCUACGAAAGGGCACUCUAAUGAGACUGCCAGUGACAAACCGGAGGAAGGUGAGAUAAACGUCAAGUCCUCGCGGCCCUUAUGGGUAGGGCUUCACACGUCGCUAAUGGUGCGGACAGAGGGUCUCAACCCGCGAGGAGCCAAUCCCAGAAACCCGAUCGUAGUCCGGAUCGCAGUCUGCAACUCGACUGCGUGAAGUCAGAAUCUUCAAUGUGCGGAUCAGCUGCUCUUGGUGAAUACGUUCCCGGGUCUUGUACACACCGCCCGUCACACCAUGCGGGAGUGGUUUACAGUAGGUAGCCUAACCGCUCGGGGCGAUUACCUAGUGAUUCGCGGCUAUGGGUGAAGUGUAGCGAGGUAACCCUGUUACUACCUGAUGC
This 1476-nucleotide ribosomal RNA is filed under the name uncultured Bordetella sp. RNAcentral describes it as "partial 16S-23S ribosomal RNA intergenic spacer". It matches the Rfam family "Bacterial small subunit ribosomal RNA". The record is from RNAcentral. Lineage: Bacteria; Pseudomonadati; Pseudomonadota; Betaproteobacteria; Burkholderiales; Alcaligenaceae.